RNAcentral lists this transfer RNA (89 nucleotides) under Clostridia bacterium. RNAcentral's name for it is "tRNA-Ser". It matches the Rfam family "tRNA". Rfam says of the family: Transfer RNA (tRNA) molecules are approximately 80 nucleotides in length. Their secondary structure includes four short double-helical elements and three loops (D, anti-codon, and T loops). The record is from RNAcentral. Lineage: Bacteria; Bacillati; Bacillota; Clostridia.
GGAGAGAUGGCCGAGCGGUUUAAGGCGCUGGUCUUGAAAACCAGUGAUAUCGCAAGAUACCGGGGGUUCGAAUCCCUCUCUCUCCGCCA